AGUCUGAUGGAGCACGCCGCGUGAGUGAAGAAGGGUUUCGGCUCGUAAAACUCUGUUGUUAAAGAAGAACAUAUCUGAGAGUAACUGUUCAGGUAUUGACGGUAUUUAACCAGAAAGCCACGGCUAACUACGUGCCAGCAGCCGCGGUAAUACGUAGGUGGCAAGCGUUGUCCGGAUUUAUUGGGCGUAAAGCGAGCGCAGGCGGUUUUUUAAGUCUGAUGUGAAAGCCUUCGGCUCAACCGAAGAAGUGCAUCGGAAACUGGGAAACUUGAGUGCAGAAGAGGACAGUGGAACUCCAUGUGUAGCGGUGAAAUGCGUAGAUAUAUGGAAGAACACCAGUGGCGAAGGCGGCUGUCUGGUCUGUAACUGACGCUGAGGCUCGAAAGUAUGGGUAGCAAACAGGAUUAGAUACCCUGGUAGUCCAUACCGUAAACGAUGAAUGCUAAGUGUUGGAGGGUUUCCGCCCUUCAGUGCUGCAGCUAACGCAUUAAGCAUUCCGCCUGGGGAGUACGGCCGCAAGGCUGAAACUCAAAGGAAUUGACGGGGGCCCGCACAAGCGGUGGAGCAUGUGGUUUAAUUCGAAGCUACGCGAAGAACCUUACCAGGUCUUGACAUACUAUGCAAAUCUAAGAGAUUAGACGUUCCCUUCGGGGACAUGGAUACAGGUGGUGCAUGGUUGUCGUCAGCUCGUGUCGUGAGAUGUUGGGUUAAGUCCCGCAACGAGCGCAACCCUUAUUAUCAGUUGCCAGCAUUAAGUUGGGCACUCUGGUGAGACUGCCGGUGACAAACCGGAGGAAGGUGGGGAUGACGUCAAAUCAUCAUGCCCCUUAUGACCUGGGCUACACACGUGCUACAAUGGAUGGUACAACGAGUUGCGAACUCGCGAGAGUAAGCUAAAUCUCUUUAAAGCCAUUUCU
This 917-nucleotide ribosomal RNA is filed under the name Lactiplantibacillus plantarum. Its description in RNAcentral is "bacterial SSU rRNA". It matches the Rfam family "Bacterial small subunit ribosomal RNA", at positions 380 to 1289 of the family's 1533-position model. The record is from RNAcentral. Lineage: Bacteria; Bacillati; Bacillota; Bacilli; Lactobacillales; Lactobacillaceae.